RNAcentral lists this ribosomal RNA (1405 nucleotides) under metagenome. RNAcentral's name for it is "bacterial SSU rRNA". It matches the Rfam family "Archaeal small subunit ribosomal RNA". The record is from RNAcentral.
UCCAGUUUAUCCUGCUGGAGGUUGCUGCUAUUUGGUUCGAACUUAGGCAUGCAAGUCUGACGCAAGUCGGCAAACUGCUCAGAAACACGUAGUUAAUCUGCCCUUGGGUCGAGGAUAACCUCGGGAAACUGAGGCUAAUACUCGAUAGAGGUUUUUCGCUGGAAAGCUAUAACCUUGAAACUUGUGCCCAAGGAUGAGACUGCGGCUGAUUAGCUUGUUGGUGGGGUAACUGCCUACCAAGGCGACGAUCAGUAAGGGCCCUUAGCGGGGUCGCCCUGAGAAGGAAUCUGAGACACUAUUCCUAGCCCUACGGGGUGCAGCAGCUAUGAAUUUUUUACAAUGCACGCAAGUGUGAUAGAGCGAACCAAAGUGUUUACCUUUUUUGGUAAACUUUUGUCUACUGUAAAUAUGUAGACGAAUAAGGACUGGGAAAGACCGGUGCCAGCCGCCGCGGUAAUACCGGCAGUUCAAGUUGCAACCAACAUUAUUGGGUCUAAAACAUCCGUAGCUUGCCAAGUAAGUUCUUGUGAAAUCUCACGUCUUAAGCGUGGGGCGGGCAGGAAAUACUACUUGACUAGAGACCGGUAGACGUAAGGAGUACGGAAGAGGUAGCGGUUAAAUGUGUUAAUCUCUUCUGGACUAACAAUCAGCGAAGGCACCUUACGAGGACGGAUCUGACAGUGAGGGAUGAAGGCCAGGGGCGCAAAACGGAUUAGAUACCCGUGUAGUCCUGGCAGUAAACACUGCUCACUAAACAUCGGGACCUCUUCGGGAGGUUUCGGUGCUGAAGCGAAGGCAAAGAGUGAGCUACCUGGGAAGUAUAGUCGCAAGGUCGAAACUUAAAGGAAUUGGCGGGGAGACACUACAACGAGUGACGCGUGCGGUUCAAUUAGAUUUUACACCGUGAACCUCACCAGGAGCGACAGCAGGAUGAAGGUCAGUCUAAAGGGCUUACCUGACACGCUGAGCGGGGAUGCAUGGCCGACGUCAGCCUGUGCUGUGAAGUGACCUGUUAAAUCAGGUAACAGGCGAGACCCAUGUGCAUAAUUACUACAGAAAUGGGAACAUUAUGCAGACUGCUCUGGUAACAGAGAGGAAGGUAUGGGCUACGUUAGGUGAGUACGUCCCUAAUCCCCUGGGCUACACGCGCGCGGCAAUGGUGGACGCAAUGGGCUGCGACUCCGAAAGGAGAAGCUAAUCCCCUAAUGUUCAUCUCAGUCCAGAUCGAGGCUUGCAACCCAGCCUCGUGACGCCGGAAUUCGUAGUAAUCGGAUGUUAGCAGCGUCCGGUGAAUAUGUCCCUGUCUCUUGCACACACCGCCCGUCAAACCAACCGAGUUAUGCGGAGUUGAAACUCGUCUGAGGAGAAAUUUUGUAUGACAAGGUAGGUUAAGUCGACACAAGGU